UUACUAGCCUUCUUUUGGUUGUCAGUGGCUGCAGCAAUCCAUAUACGCCGCUCCGCCCACCUUCGCAGCUCUCCCUUCACCAUACACUCCGGCCGCCCUCUUUCCUCUCCGACGCCAUCUCACAGUUCCCGCCUCCUCGCUUCGCUGGGCCCUCCGCUCCCGUCGGCCCAGGCCCCUUUCCAAUCCAACCACUUCUUUUCCGCUAGUUCAGCUGGGGAGCAUUCCCAGCUCUGGGGAACCGGCCAGUCGACGACGGCAAGGAGCGAGCACGAUGGUUGCACCAGCUCAGGGCUUAAUGAUGCUGCUGAGGAUGUUUUGAGUGGCGUCGCUGAUGACUGACCAAUUCUUCCGGUGGGUGGUGAUUGCAUCCUCCACCUUGGCGAUGAGGAUUGCUCUGCUCCCUGUGCUUGUCAUUCAACUAAGAAAACUGAAGAGAAUCGCCGAGUUAAUGACAAAAUUUCCCCCGCCUCUGCCGCUGCCUUUCUCGGGAAGGAGUUACUUGGACCACAUUAUUCUUUGCCUGAGGGAGUGACGAGCUUCCAGGUGCCCCUUGUUGCUGUGGAUGCUUUCAUCCUUUUCUGUAUGGGUAAUUUCCUAGUGUCUACCAUGCUAAUGAACGAUGAGUUUGAUUUCUGUGUGUUAUGUGGACUAUCCUCCUUUAGUUUACGCUUGCAUCUGUCGCACGUGAUGAGCAGAGGCGCGAUCUUGACCCUAUGCAAUUGUCCAACUUUAACUACUAUCAAUUGUCAAAGAUUGCUUUCGGUUUUAGAUUUGUUGGAGCAUAAACACUUUGAUCAGUGAAAUACUGUGGACUCCUCAAGGCCAGUCCUUUGGAAUUGGAGAAUUGUUUUCCUUGUUUUA
Molecule: non-coding RNA, 861 nt
Organism: Punica granatum (pomegranate)
Lineage: Eukaryota; Viridiplantae; Streptophyta; Magnoliopsida; Myrtales; Lythraceae
Source: RefSeq, a predicted model, not a curated record